This 1376-nucleotide ribosomal RNA is filed under the name uncultured bacterium. Its description in RNAcentral is "16S ribosomal RNA". It matches the Rfam family "Bacterial small subunit ribosomal RNA", at positions 31 to 1399 of the family's 1533-position model. The record is from RNAcentral.
GAACGCUAGCGACAGGCUUAACACAUGCAAGUCGAGGGGCAGCGGGGGAGGAAGCUUGCUUUCUCCUGCCGGCGACCGGCGCACGGGUGAGUAACACGUAUGCAACCUGCCCCUGUCAGGGGGACAACCCGCCGAAAGGCGGGCUAAACCCGCGUACAUGCCACCGGGGCAUCCCGGAGGCAGGAAAGGCUUCGGCCGGACAGGGAUGGGCAUGCGGCGCAUUAGGCAGUAGGCGGGGUAACGGCCCACCUAACCGACGAUGCGUAGGGGUUCUGAGAGGAAGGUCCCCCACACUGGUACUGAGACACGGACCAGACUCCUACGGGAGGCAGCAGUGAGGAAUAUUGGUCAAUGGUCGGGAGACUGAACCAGCCAAGCCGCGUGAGGGAGGAAGGUACAGAGUAUCGUAAACCUCUUUUGUCAGGGAACAAAGGCGGGGACGUGUCCCCGGAUGAGUGUACCUGAAGAAAAAGCAUCGGCUAACUCCGUGCCAGCAGCCGCGGUAAUACGGAGGAUGCGAGCGUUAUCCGGAUUUAUUGGGUUUAAAGGGUGCGCAGGCGGUCUGUUAAGUCAGCGGUCAAAGCCCGGGGCUCAACCCCGGCCCGCCGUUGAAACUGGCAGUCUCGAGUUGGAGAGAAGUAUGCGGAAUGCGCGGUGUAGCGGUGAAAUGCAUAGAUAUCGCGCAGAACUCCGAUUGCGAAGGCAGCAUGCCGGCUCCACACUGACGCUGAGGCACGAAAGCGUGGGUAUCGAACAAGAUUAGAUACCCUGGUAGUCCACGCAGUAAACGAGCAUAAAGGCGUCCGGGGGGAUGACCCCUGGGGCGAAGCGAAAGCGAUAAGCAUUCCUCCUGGGGAGUACGCCGGCAGCGGUGAAACUCAAAGGAAUAGACGGGGGCCCGCCCAAGCGGAGGAACAUGUGGUUUAAUUCGAUGAUACGCGAGGAGACCUCACCCGGGCUCAAACGGGGAGUGGCGCAGGCAGAGACGCCUGUUUCUCACGGGACACUCCCCGAGGUGCUGCAUGGUUGUCGUCAGCUCGUGCCGUGAGGUGUCGGCUUAAGUGCCAUAACGAGCGCAACCCCUGUGUGCAGUUGCUAACAGUCAACGCUGAGGACUCUGCACGGACUGCCGGCGCAAGCCGCGAGGAAGGCGGGGAUGACGUCAAAUCAGCACGGCCCUUACGUCCGGGGCGACACACGUGUUACAAUGGGUGGUACAGCGGGAAGCCAGGCGGCGACGCCGAGCGGAACCCGAAAUCCACUCUCAGUUCGGAUCGGAGUCUGCAACCCGACUCCGUGAAGCUGGAAUCGCUAGUAAUCGCGAAUCAGAAUGUCGCGGUGAAUACGAUCGCGGGUCUUGCACACACCGCCCGUCA